Aspergillus oryzae RIB40 is the source of this 174-nucleotide non-coding RNA. NCBI's taxonomy places the organism in Eukaryota, Fungi, Ascomycota, Eurotiomycetes, Eurotiales, Aspergillaceae. The record is from the annotation of a RefSeq genome assembly.
AGCAUGUUAGCUCAGGGGAAGAGCGGUAAUUUUCACGUGACCUGCCAUAUUUGACCAAUAGCUAACGUUUCACAGCCGGGCUCAUAACCCGGAGGUACGAUUUCACCUCACCAACCAAUCAUAAUACGAUUCCUAACAAACAAUAGGUCCCUGGAUCGAAACCAGGACAUGCUA